UUUCCGUAGGUGAACCUGCGGAAGGAUCAUUAAAGAGAUCAUGCCCUCACGGGUAGACCUCCCACCCUUUGUUUACAAUACCUUUGUUGCUUUGGCGGGCCCGUUUGGCCCCGCGCUGAACAACCGGCCCCGGCUGGUCAGUGCCCGCCAGAGAACCGAGAACUCUGAAUUAAAUGUCGUCUGAGUACUAUGUAAUAGUUAAAACUUUCAACAACGGAUCUCUUGGUUCUG
Molecule: unclassified non-coding RNA, 231 nt
Filed under: plant metagenome
Description: partial contains small subunit ribosomal RNA, internal transcribed spacer 1, and 5.8S ribosomal RNA
Source: RNAcentral